CAAAGUAUACAAAGAGCUGGUAAUUCACCAGCUCUUGUCACCUAAAUAGCUCCAAAAGUAUGAUAGUAGCAGAAAAAUGGAUAAGGAAAAAUUUGCAUGAAAAUUUCAGGACUACAAUAUGACAUUAAUAUUUUUUUGCUAGCUGACAAGAAGAAUCCAAUGAUGUGCAAUAUUAAAUAUAAAACCUGACAAUGAUCAAUAAAAACUAUUUAGAAAAUAUCUGUUCCAUCCGUUGUCGGAACAACUAAAGGAUGACAAAACCCUGACGCGACCAUGAUGCAGAAGAACUGUAUUGUGGCUAGCUUGUUCGCCAGUUUUGACUUUCAAUGUUGUUUAAUAAUUUAUCUUGAUUAAAAAGAAAAGCAAAAGAAUAAUAUAAAUAUAAUUAUAAAUACGAGCAAAUCAAAGGAAUUUAUAAAAGAAUGAAUAUGGGGCAUUAGCUUAAUAAACUUUAUCUACCAUUAAAUCAUUAUUUAUUUAGUUGCUUUAUUGUUAUAUGUCAUAUAAUAGUUUUGUAUCAUAUAUCGCAAUUAUCAUAAAUCAAAUUUGAAAAUAGGCUUUAAAUUAUAACAAUAUAUCUUAGAGAAUAAUUGAAGCGCUCCCUGGAAUAUAGGUCAAAGUCCUCAUAUGAUUUUUCAUGAGCUUAAUUGAAACUUAUACGGGGACCGUUUCAAUUAUAAUGUAGUAUCGUCGUUAUGUAUUGAACACUUGCCGAAAUCCCCGUCAAGGUUUUCAAAUGUUCAAUUAAAAUGAACAUUUCAUAUAUCGAGUGUAUCUAUAUUACUUAGUAUAUCCUAGUAGUACAGCCGAGACAGCAGGUGACACAUUCCUAUAUGCACCCUCUUUUCCUCUAAUUGUUUUUUCUUUUUUUUAAUAAUAAUCAUAAUAUAAUAAUAAACAUUACCACCACAGCAAUAAUAGUAUUACAAUAGCACUGUCGCUAAGACACGCUCAAUUAUAUUACGUGUUGGCGGUCCGCUACCACUUUAAUGAUGAACAGUAUUCAUUGAUCUGAAUAGGAAUUCAGUAUACGUAAUAUAAUGUAUUAUUAAUACAAUCUUAUGUGUUGGUUCAUACCAAAACAUCAUUGCUUACGUAGAUUGGGUUUUAAGAGCCUGGUCAUUUCCUUGCGUUGUGCUCAAGUAUAAAUUUCUCUUUGCUAACAGUCAUACGAUAAUCUGUGCACGUAAUAAACUGUCACAUGGUGGUGAUUAUUAUCUUGUUAAUAAGGACAAUCUGAAAAUAAUAUAUCCGUAUAUGCUUGCGUCAGAGAAUGGUGAACUAAAGCUCCGAACUAGCAUAGUUAUUGAAUAAUGCCAAUGCAACACCAAAAGUGCGCGUUCGUUGCAAUCUAUACAAUCUGUUCGCUAUAGGUUUUUCAUUAUCAUCGCUGCUAACAAUGAUAU
Molecule: long non-coding RNA, 1406 nt
Organism: Polistes dominula (European paper wasp)
Lineage: Eukaryota; Metazoa; Arthropoda; Insecta; Hymenoptera; Vespidae
Source: RefSeq, a predicted model, not a curated record